This 388-nucleotide ribosomal RNA is filed under the name Aeromonas caviae subsp. aquatica. RNAcentral's name for it is "partial 23S ribosomal RNA". It matches the Rfam family "Bacterial large subunit ribosomal RNA", at positions 2543 to 2925 of the family's 2925-position model. The record is from RNAcentral. Lineage: Bacteria; Pseudomonadati; Pseudomonadota; Gammaproteobacteria; Aeromonadales; Aeromonadaceae.
CAUCCUGGGGCUGAAGUCGGUCCCAAGGGUAUGGCUGUUCGCCAUUUAAAGUGGUACGCGAGCUGGGUUCAGAACGUCGUGAGACAGUUCGGUCCCUAUCUGCCGUGGGCGUUGGAUGAUUGAAGGGAGUUGCUCCUAGUACGAGAGGACCGGAGUGAACGAACCUCUGGUGUUCGGGUUGUCACGCCAGUGGCACUGCCCGGUAGCUAAGUUCGGAAUCGAUAACCGCUGAAAGCAUCUAAGCGGGAAGCGAGCCCUGAGAUGAGUCAUCCCUGACCCCUUGAGGGUCCUAAAGGGCCGUUGGAGACCACAACGUUGAUAGGUGGGGUGUGUAAGCGUAGCGAUACGUUGAGCUAACCCAUACUAAUUACCCGUGAGGCUUAACCAU